Molecule: ribosomal RNA, 442 nt
Filed under: uncultured bacterium
Lineage: Bacteria
Description: partial 16S ribosomal RNA
Rfam family: Bacterial small subunit ribosomal RNA
Source: RNAcentral
CCUACGGGUGGCAGCAGUGGGGAAUAUUGGGCAAUGGGCGCAAGCCUGACCCAGCAACGCCGCGUGAGGGAAGAAGGCUUUCGGGUUGUAAACUUCUUUUAAGAGGGAAGAGCAGAAGACGGUACCUCUUGAAUAAGCCACGGCUAACUACGUGCCAGCAGCCGCGGGAAUACGUAGGUGGCAAGCGUUGUCCGGAUUUACUGGGGGUAAAGGGCGUGCAGCCGGGAAGACAAGUAAGAUGUGAAAUCCCGCGGCUCAACCGCGGAACUGCAUUUGAAACUGUUGUUCUUGAGUGCCGGAGAGGUCAUCGGAAUUCCUUGUGUAGCGGUGAAAUGCGUAGAUAUAAGGAAGAACACCAGUGGCGAAGGCGGAUGACUGGACGGCAACUGACGGUGAGGCGCGAAAGCGUGGGGAGCAAACAGGAUUAGAUACCCGAGUAGUC